CCAAUAGCGUAUAUUAAAGUUGUUGCAGUUAAAAAGCUCGUAGUUGAAUUUCGGGAUCAAAUUGUCGGUCGUGCCUCGGUACGAACUGGUAUUAUUGGUUCCUACCUUCUGAAGAACCGCGAUGUCAUUAAUUUGGUGUCGUGGGGAAUCAGGACUGUUACUUUGAAAAAAUUAGAGUGUUUAAAGCAGGCUUACGCUUGAAUACAUUAGCAUGGAAUAAUGAAAUAGGACGUUUGAUUCUAUUUUGUUGGUUUCUAGGAUUGACGUAAUGAUUAAUAGGGAUAGUUGGUGGCAUUAGUAUUCAAUUGUCAGAGGUGAAAUUCUUGGAUUUAUUGAAGACUAACUACUGCGAAAGCAUUUGCCAAGGAUGUUUUCAUUAAUCAAGAACGAAAGUUAGGGGAUCGAAGACGAUCAGAUACCGUCGUAGUCUUAACCAUAAACUAUGCCGACUAGGGAUCGGAUGAUGUUAAUUUUUUAAUGACUCAUUCGGCGCCUUACG
This 499-nucleotide unclassified non-coding RNA is filed under the name uncultured Glomeromycotina. RNAcentral's name for it is "SSU rRNA". It matches the Rfam family "Eukaryotic small subunit ribosomal RNA", at positions 591 to 1092 of the family's 1831-position model. Lineage: Eukaryota; Fungi; Glomeromycota. The record is from RNAcentral.